ACUUUCAAAUAAAGUCGCUAGGAACAGCGGAGAUCCCAAAAAUCGCUCAGUCUCCUGGCGCUGGUGGCUCUGGUCGCCGCCUGCUGCGCGUCUCCGCAGGGCAUCACGUUUGGUGGCGCCGCCCAGCGGACGGCCACCAGACAGAGGUUCCGGCAGCGACCGCGGGGCGGCGCCACCACCGACACCCGGAUCGGGCUGGUGGGCGGCCAGCUGGGGAACCUGGACCCGGUGCCGGGCUCCGACUACCCGUCGCGGAUCGCCAACGGGAACCAGCAGCCGGCGCAGACCAGCCAGCAGCUGCUGCAGCAGCCCGACAACGUAUACGACGGGCAGUCGAACGGUCGUGUUUCGAAGAGUAGCGACUGCUACUGUUCCUUGAUCGGCGAAUGUCCUCACAACGGCGGCUUUGACGGCGCCGGACUGAUCGACAUCCGAAUUGUCAACACCAGGCCGACGGUGGUGAACGGUCAGCUGCAGUGCAGCAGCGAGUACCAGGAGCUUUGCUGUCCACCCAGCUCCGGCUCCGGCUCCGGCUCCGGCGGCUCCGGCUCCGGUGGUUCCGGACAGCUGGUGUCCGGCUGUCCGGCCGCCGCCGGACACAACCAGUGCGGACAGCGGCAGCUGAUCCCGGUGCCCGGCUACACCCUGAAGCCGGCCGAGACGAGCUUCGGCGCCUACCCGUGGGUGGCCACCAUCCUGCGCGAGGGCGACGUCUUCAUCAGCUCCGGGGUGCUCAUCAGCGACCAGUGGGUGCUCACCGUGGCGCACCACGUCAACAAGUACAGCAACAACUACUCCGGCCUCAAGAUCCGGUUCGGUGAGUGGGACGCCAGUGACCCGAACCACGAGCCGUGCGCGCACGAGGAGCGCACCGUGUCGCGUCUGAUCGUGCACCCGCAGUUCGACUCUGGCAGUCUGGCGCAGGACGUGGCGCUGCUGCAGCUCUCGCGGCCGGUCUCCGUGUCGGCCUACCCGCACAUCGGCGCCGCCUGCCUGCCCGCCGGCGGCCAGAGCUUCGACUACCAGCGCUGCUGGGUGGCCGGCUUCGGCAAGGACGCGUUCGGCCAGGGCGGCCAGUACAGCUUCAUCCAGAAGGAGGUGGACGUGCCGGUGGUGCCGCACGACCAGUGCCAGCAACAGCUGCGCCAGACGCGGCUCGGCGCCGGCUUCCGGCUCAACGGUCGGGCCUUCCUCUGCGCCGGCGGCGAGCAGGGCAAGGACUCGUGCGAGGGCGACGGCGGCGCGCCGCUCGUCUGCCAGGGCGGCGACGGCCGCUGGACCGUGGCCGGACUGGUGGCCUGGGGCAUCGGCUGCGCGGAGGCCAACCGGCCCGGCGUGUACGUCAACGUGGCAUCGUACGUGGACUGGGUGCAGCAGCAGACCGGCUACCUGGGCCGCUGAGCGGGAGCGGCGGCAGUCCCGGACCGCUGAGCGGGAGCACGGACCGGCUGCCUGGGCCGCUGAGCGGGAGCGGCGGCAGACCUGGACCGCUGAGCGGGAGCGGCGGCAGUCCCGGACCGCUGAGCGGGAGCACGGACCGGCUGCCUGGGCCGCUGAGCGGGAGCGGCGGUAGUCCCGGACCGCUGAGCGGGCGCGCAGUGCCGGGGAAUCGGCGGUCAGUCGCACCCCGGCAGUGUUCGCCACCGCCAGACCUCGGUACCCCGGCCCGGUCUGAGCUAGCCCGCUUAGUUAGAUCUUACAGGCGCAGUGACCGAUUUUAUAAAUAAUGCGUACGGCAUAUGCAACUUCAAACCAAGUGUCUUUAUCAGUUGUAUAGGCACACUUAUCAUCCACGAUGUUUUUCCUUCAUGAGGCUGUAUAACAUGUAUCGGCUGUAUAAGGUGAACUUCGCGACACGAUUGGCAUACGAUGAUCGUCAGUAGGUACCAUAGAGUAGGUACCCAUAGUUCGGUGGAACUCGAGAUGGGCCGUGCGAGGGCCAGUCCGUUGACUUUUUCAAUGUGAAUCAUUGUCAGUGCAGUACAACACGCAAAACUGCUGAUACGGGAAGGUUUUACCUGCUCGCAACUUGACUAAUACAUUCAUAACCGUGUUUUAACAAAAA
Molecule: unclassified non-coding RNA, 2065 nt
Filed under: Amphibalanus amphitrite
Lineage: Eukaryota; Metazoa; Arthropoda; Thecostraca; Balanomorpha; Balanidae
Description: phenoloxidase-activating factor 2-like, transcript variant X2
Source: RNAcentral